CGCGUCACUCUUUCCAUGAAGUACCACUUCCGACACACCAGUGCCAUCGCGUUACGCGAUCGCGUAUCGUUGGAUAAUCCGACGAUGUUCAUCUGUAUCACCUCGGGCAAAUCCUGAAGGUGCGUUCCUCCCAUCUCUCCCUCUCCCUCCUCUCACGAAUGAUUAAGUUAUGAAAGAGAGAGGUAAGUAGCUAGGGAUUAGGAUUUAGGUGUGAUGACUGAGGAGUGGGGACGAUUGGAUGUGACAUGUGAAUAUGUGAUUGUCCGAUGGAUGAUCCCAACCGUCCAUUUAUCUCAGCUUACCAUCGUGGUUCGGGUAGUGGGUGGGUAUGUCAACAUCGGGGUACUACGGUUAAGGAUAGACAGACGUGGUUAGUAAAAAUAAAAUAUUUAAAUUUUAACAGCUCAUUAUCUUAUUCUUUCAAACUUAAAUAUAACUAUAUAAGGUUGGAUGGAUGACUAUAAAAGUUUGUUUGUGUAUCAAUGUCAAUCUAAGUCUUUUAAUAAACUUCAGGAUUUAAUCUUAAUCUUUCGUUUGAGAUCUAUGAAUGAUUUAUUAAAUUUUGUUUGUUCUCAUCAGAAAUUCACGCCUUAAAUACAUACCAUCAGCAAUUAAGCAGGCAGGCGGAGGAAGACUUAUAAAGUAGAUCUCACAUCCACACAAAAAUAUUGCAUUUUAUCUAAC
RNAcentral lists this long non-coding RNA (684 nucleotides) under Zostera marina. RNAcentral's name for it is "long non-coding RNA (ZMAR_LNC000362)". Lineage: Eukaryota; Viridiplantae; Streptophyta; Magnoliopsida; Alismatales; Zosteraceae. The record is from RNAcentral.